AUCCUACGCUUACAUGAUAAGAUACGGAACAUAUGAAUACAAAUAGCAGCUAUAAUUAUCCAGAUCGUAACUUGUUUGAUAUCAAAAGGGUCAAAGUUAUUCCAACGAAUCGAAAUCAUACAUUAAUAAUAUGGCCGAAAAGAAAGGUGCUGGAAAUAUUAUAAUUAAUAAAGGUCAAGAUUUACAUGUUGGAAACAGAUAUUAUUGGAAUCAGGUUAACAAUNUUUAAUU
Molecule: long non-coding RNA, 231 nt
Organism: Centruroides sculpturatus (bark scorpion)
Lineage: Eukaryota; Metazoa; Arthropoda; Arachnida; Scorpiones; Buthidae
Exons: 3
Source: RefSeq, a predicted model, not a curated record